Molecule: long non-coding RNA, 186 nt
Organism: Neltuma alba
Lineage: Eukaryota; Viridiplantae; Streptophyta; Magnoliopsida; Fabales; Fabaceae
Exons: 2
Source: RefSeq, a predicted model, not a curated record
UGCAAUACUUGUCAUGGAAGGGUCCAUUCCUUGAAUCUUGGUGGCAUGGAUCUUAAGGGUUGGAGACUUUGGAUUGGAACUCUAAUAUCAUUGAAGGUACCAUUCCACCUGAGAUAGGAAGUCUAAAGCACUUGAAGAAUUUACAACUUUCAAGGAACAAACUUUCAGGAGCAAUUCCCCAAACAA